RNAcentral lists this long non-coding RNA (1122 nucleotides) under Triticum aestivum (bread wheat). Its description in RNAcentral is "long non-coding RNA (TAES_LNC016735)". Lineage: Eukaryota; Viridiplantae; Streptophyta; Magnoliopsida; Poales; Poaceae. The record is from RNAcentral.
AAUAACACAUGGCCACCAAAAACCUGACAAAUGUUUUUCCCUGAAAACACACAACAAUUUUGAAAUGCAUCAGUACACCCUGACAUUUUCAAUUUCAGAAGCAACCAAACAUGCUAAAUAGUACUCAUGUACUUACUGGAAGCACACAUAUCCUAAAAUAUUAAUCAUGUACUUACUGGUAUAGAUUAAAUUUGCCAAUGGGAGAUUAAGCUCUCCAAGUGCAACAUGGAAGGAAGAAAUAACUGACUGUCAAUAGCACCCAGCGGUAUAGUAUUCAACAUGACAAAAUUGAACGUUCAACAUUAGAUGGGAACUUGGACGGGGCGCAUUGCUCUACUCGGACAACGCCCAGUGCUCAACUUGGACGAAUGAGGCUGUCGUGCGCUUGGGAGGUUCCACACCUGCAUAAUUACUAUAAGGGGAUUACAGACAUCUCCCCUGUCUUCAAAUGGUGGCACUGCAGGCCAGCUGUUGCUGCUCCUUGAACCAAAGGGAGAGAAAAAAUGCGGACCUAUGGCCGAGCACAAUGUCAACUUGAUAUUUCAUCAGUACUAGUAUGACUGGACAAGAACGUAAUUAAUUUCAAACACUAAAUGAAAUCCGGAUAGCUUAGUGAAAUUGCAAUAUGGAGCUUUAGUCACCUUCCCCUGACAAAGAGUGACAGAUACAAAGUAGUACUGCGCAUUUCUGAAACACUUGACUAAAACCAUAGCAGCUGUAGGCCUGUCAUCAUCCCUGAUGGUCUUUGUGAUUACUCAUCCAUUUUUUUAGUAUCACCACCGUGGCUACCCCUUCAAGUAAGCACUUUUGGUGUAAGCAUACAUGAGCAGGGCUUGCGUGGAGGCCGCGUGAGGAGCUAGUUGAGGACGACCACAUUCGUGUUCGUGCUGCUGCCGUUGUGGCAAAAGGGGCAACGACCUGUAUUGGUUGCAGGAGCUGGACUGACCACCUAGGCAUCACAUCAAAGUAAUUAGCAAGAUUAACCACUAAUUUUUACAAGAAUUAGCCAGCAAUUAAAAGGGUGAGAAAUAAGAGUUCUAGUAAUUAUAAUUUACAAACACUAGUUCAAGUCAGGUUUGCUAUUUUUGAAUUUGAUGCAUGUUGCGCUAUAGGACUACUACG